Molecule: ribosomal RNA, 478 nt
Filed under: uncultured bacterium
Lineage: Bacteria
Description: partial 16S ribosomal RNA
Rfam family: Bacterial small subunit ribosomal RNA
Source: RNAcentral
GAUGAACGCUGGCGGCGUGCUUAACACAUGCAAGUCGAACGAGAAGUGACGACGGACACCUUCGGGCGGAAGGCUUUAUUUCGAGUGGCGGACGGGUGAGUAACGCGUGGGUAACCUGCCUCCUACAGGGGGAUAACAGUUGGAAACGACUGCUAAUACCGAAUAAGACCACAGCACCGCAUGGUGCGGGGGUAAAAACUCCGGUGAUAUUAGAGGGACCCGCGUUCGAUUAGCCAGUCGGCGGGGUAACGGCGCACCAAAGUGACGAUCGAUAGCCGAGAUGAGAGGAAGACCGGCGACAUUGAGACUGAGACACGGCCCAGACUCUUACGGGAAGGGGCAGUGGGUAAUAUUGCAAAGUGGGGGGAACCCUGAUGCUGCGACGCCGGGUGAGUGAAGAAGGAUGUCGGUAUGGAAAGCUCUAUCAGCAGGGAAGAAAAUGACGGUACCAGAAGAAGAAGCCCCGGCUAACUACGUG